CAGUCGCCGCGGUAAUACGAAGGGUGCAAGCGUUACUCGGAAUUACUGGGCGUAAAGCGUGCGUAGGUGGUGGUUUAAGUCCGUUGUGAAAGCCCUGGGCUCAACCUGGGAAUGGCAGUGGAUACUGGCUCGCUAGAGUGUGUCAGAGGAUGGUGGAAUUCCCGGUGUAGCGGUGAAAUGCGUAGAGAUCGGGAGGAACAUCAGUGGCGAAGGCGGCCAUCUGGGACAACACUGACGCUGAGGCACGAAAGCGUGGGGAGCAAACAGGAUUAGAUACCCCCGUAGUCCCUGUCUCUUAUAC
Molecule: ribosomal RNA, 301 nt
Filed under: uncultured bacterium
Lineage: Bacteria
Description: partial 16S ribosomal RNA
Rfam family: Bacterial small subunit ribosomal RNA
Source: RNAcentral